RNAcentral lists this long non-coding RNA (566 nucleotides) under Cavia porcellus (domestic guinea pig). RNAcentral's name for it is "lncRNA (ENSCPOG00000034964.1)". The record is from RNAcentral. Lineage: Eukaryota; Metazoa; Chordata; Mammalia; Rodentia; Caviidae.
AGGACGGACCGAGUGUUCCUGAACCAGCAGCUUCCUGCCGAAGCAGGAGGAAAGGUGCGGCCCAGCCAGCAAGAGAAAGGCAGCUGGUGGCACACAACGCCGUGUCCUCGUGCCCUGCUUCACCAGCCUGGCACCGUGUGACUUCUGGCUCAUCCCCCGAGUUGAAAUGCUUGAGAAGGGUAAACUCUGGGUGGACAUCGAUGCUGGAAAUCGAGGCGGCCCCGACAGCACGGCCAAAGAUCACGCCGCCUAUUGGCAGCUUUGAGCCAACGACCCAACGAGUGAAUGGACAAAGUAGCAAACGGGCCGCCAGGACACGAGACUCACCGGUGAUCCCCAGUGCCCGUGUCCCCAGGGAGAGCGCAGGUAAGUGAAGGGACCCACAGAAGGCCAGGGCCUGUGCAUGGAGACCCUGCUGGCCCGCAGUGCCCGUGGGGGGCCACGUCCCUUCCUGCACCUGUCCCGCCACUCAGGAGAGCCAGCUCUGUGGCCUCCCAAGGACCGAUCUCCUCGGGGCACCCUCAGGCCACCCCGGGCCCUGGCCGCCUCAUACACGGACACAGCUG